Molecule: long non-coding RNA, 2265 nt
Filed under: Marmota monax (woodchuck)
Lineage: Eukaryota; Metazoa; Chordata; Mammalia; Rodentia; Sciuridae
Source: RNAcentral
GACAAAUUCAGAGUACUAGCAGUACCACUGCACCUGAAGAUAGAAGGACUACACGUAGAACAGAAGGAGAUUAAUCCUGCUACUAAUCAGUGAGUUUGGAAGAGGACUCUGAGGCACAGAGGAGAACAUUGGCCUCAGUCAAUGGCUGAUUUUAGUUUAGUGAGACCAUGAGCAUAGAGUUAACUAUGCUGCCUCAGACUUCUGAUCUACAGAAACUUGCUGAAAGCCACCAGGUUUGUGAUCAUUUGUUACAACAAUGGAAAAUAGAGGAAUAUGUCCCUACAGGAUUGAGACUAAGACUUUAGGUCCCUAUGGGAUUGAGAUUUACGAUUUAUUAUAAGAAAAGUCUCUAAAAUCCUUUUUUUUUUUUUUUUUUAAGUUUUUAAGUAGUUCUGGAGUCAGAUACACCUGGGUUCAAAUCUUUGUUGGCUGGUUCCUGGUUUUGUGGCUUCACCCCUUCAAGUCUGUCUUCAUCCCUAAAAGACAGCUAGCAGUACCUACCUACCCCUUGAUCUCUCUGAGAACACAUGCAUCACAUACAAUGCCUUGUGCCCAAAGAGUUCCAAGCCCCCAACCCCUGCCAAGUGUCAUGGCCUCUUGGUUUUUCAGUUGGUAUUUCUAAGCCUUUAUUACUAGAGGUUCAAUGAGAAUAUGCACAAAUUAAACUCAAAAUGCAGAAUAUGAGAACUGGUCCUCUUAUGUCAGCAGCUUAGAAAGGUACUUCAGGAAGUACCAAGGUUAAUGCUAAAAGUCAGUGCUGAUAAAGUAUAGGAAUCUGUAGAUAAGAUGUGUCAGGAUAUCUUCCAUAACCCCAAAUUGGAAAUGCAUCACAUUGCGUAGUCUCAUGAAACCUUUGAAGAGCAUACCAAUCACCAGUAAUGUGUAAACUAAGAAGAAAAAUAGCUACAUUAAGCCAGGAACAGUGGUGCGCACACCUGUAAUCCCAGUGGCUCAGGGGGCUGAGACAGGAGAAUCAUGAGUUCAAAGCCAGCCUCAGCAAUGGCGAGGUGCUUAGCAACUCAAUGAGACCCUGUCUCUAAAUAAAAUAAAAAAUAGGGCUGGGGAUGUGGCUUAGUGGUUGAGUACCCCUGAGUUUUAAGCUACUUAAAAUAUGGAUGCCUGGGCUGGGGUUGUGGCUCAGUGGCAGAGCGCUUGGCUCCCACAUGUGAGGCACUGGGUUUGAUCCUCAGCACCACAUAAAAAUGAAUAAACAAAAUAAAGAUAUAAAAAAAUAUAUGGAUGCCAAACAAUUAGCUCUGUUCUUUCAUCUUGUCCUUUAGCUGAAAGCAACAGAUAUUCAAAUGAUGCACCUAGAAUACUAUAAAAAAAUGUAUAUCAUGAACCUUCUAAAUAAAUACAUGAAAAUUAGUGAAACCAAGAAUACAAACUCUGUCUGCCAAAGACCUACUAUAUGUGUGACACAAAAGCCCCAUGAGCUCCACAGAGAUGUCUCUACAGAUGGACCCUCCUUUCAGGAGCUGGUGGUAAGAAAACAAACUGGCCAGCGGUAUCAGUAGCCGAGACUAUCUUCUCCAGUGGCAUGGAUGCCGUGAGAUUCUGUGAAUCAAACCUUUUACCAGAUUGAAUUUCUUAGCUGGUUAAUGAUUACACAAAUUUUCCUCAGAUUUUUUGAACCAUUUCAAUUCUGUAAGUAAACUCUAACAUUGUACUUUUUAAAAUAUACUUUUUAGUUGUAGAUGGACACAAUACCUUUAUUUUAUUUACUUAUUUUUAUGUGGUGAUGAGGAAUGAACAUGUGCUGGACAAGCACUGUACCACUGAGCCACAACCCCAGCCCUCUAACAUUGUACUUUACAGCCACCAUACAACUAAAAUCCCAACCCUGGAGAUUAGACCAGUUUCUUCCAGUUGGCUCAUUCUUUAGGGAAACCCAGUUCAGUCAAACAGCUCUUUGUCCAAUCCUUACUUGGUUAUUUCCUUCCACCUUCUCUUUAACCAUGAGUCCUUUAUUCCUGGAUGUGCCCUAUUUGGGAACUUCAAGAACUAAGUUCUACAAAUUCUGAUUAUUUGUAGAGUCAGAAAUGUUGGAUAACAUGUUAAAGUAUAUUUAAACUCCAAGAACUUUUGCCAUUUGAGUUGUAUGCCUUUCAAACUUCAAAUGUCCGCAUUUGCUUAUAACAGAAAUCAUUCAUUUUAUGAAUAGAUGAUAGGGGUUCCCACAUUAUUUUUUUCACAAAUAAUUCAUUACCUAAAUAAGUAUGUUAAAUAAUGAAACUGAAUAAUGUCUUUUUUUCCAAAAUGUCA